This 656-nucleotide ribosomal RNA is filed under the name uncultured bacterium. Its description in RNAcentral is "bacterial SSU rRNA". It matches the Rfam family "Bacterial small subunit ribosomal RNA", at positions 153 to 796 of the family's 1533-position model. The record is from RNAcentral.
GAAACAGGUGCUAAUACCGUAUAACACUAUUUUCCGCAUGGAAGAAAGUUGAAAGGCGCUUUUGCGUCACUGAUGGAUGGACCCGCGGUGCAUUAGCUAGUUGGUGAGGUAACGGCUCACCAAGGCCACGAUGCAUAGCCGACCUGAGAGGGUGAUCGGCCACACUGGGACUGAGACACGGCCCAGACUCCUACGGGAGGCAGCAGUAGGGAAUCUUCGGCAAUGGACGAAAGUCUGACCGAGCAACGCCGCGUGAGUGAAGAAGGUUUUCGGAUCGUAAAACUCUGUUGUUAGAGAAGAACAAGGAUGAGAGUAAAAUGUUCAUCCCUUGACGGUAUCUAACCAGAAAGCCACGGCUAACUACGUGCCAGCAGCCGCGGUAAUACGUAGGUGGCAAGCGUUGUCCGGAUUUACUGGGCGUAAAGCGAGCGCAGGCGGUUUCUUAAGUCUGAUGUGAAAGCCCCCGGCUCAACCGGGGAGGGUCAUUGGAAACUGGGAGACUUGAGUGCAGAAGAGGAGAGUGGAAUUCCAUGUGUAGCGGUGAAAUGCGUAGAUAUAUGGAGGAACACCAGUGGCGAAGGCGGCUCUCUGGUCUGUAACUGACGCUGAGGCUCGAAAGCGUGGGGAGCGAACAGGAUUAGAUACCCUGGUAGUCC